AUACGGAGGGUGCGAGCGUUACUCGGAGUCACUGGGCGUAAAGCGUCCGUAGGCGGUCGGGUAAGUCGGGUGUGAAAGCCCCGGGCUCAACCUGGGAAGUGCACCCGAUACUGCUCGACUCGAGUGCGGGAGAGGAUGGCGGAAUUCCCGGUGUAGCGGUGAAAUGCGUAGAGUUCGGGAGGAACACCAGUGGUGAAGGCGGCCAUCUGGCCCGCAACUGACGCUGAGGGACGAAAGCGUGGGGAGCAAACAGUAUUAGAAACCCUAGUAGUCC
Molecule: ribosomal RNA, 274 nt
Filed under: uncultured bacterium
Lineage: Bacteria
Description: partial 16S ribosomal RNA
Rfam family: Bacterial small subunit ribosomal RNA
Source: RNAcentral